GAGAUGCCGUUUACACGCACGCACGCACACACCCCUGCCGUACGGACGCCAGGGGCCCUCAGCUAUGGCCUGAACUCGUCCCAAAGCACGUCGAUCAUAAAACCAGAUCGUCUCGGGCCGCCGAAUAAGCUUGCUAGCCCGUCCUAGGGCUCAACGAACGCCUCCCGGUACUCUGCGUUUUAUUUUCAGCUUCUUUAAUUUAUUCAACAAGUUUUAACAAAGCUUCUGAUGGUCUUCAAUUAAUGAACCACUGUACGGGUAAGCUGUAACUCCGACGCAGCUGCAAGUGCGCGCGAUGAAGUGCGCGCGAUUCUGCAUUCAACAGGGUUCAAUCUGUAACGCUAAGCUGCGAGAAAAAUAAGCUGGUCAUUCAGCGAGAAUAUUAAUAAUAUGGAUGGCGCUAUUCACGUGUCCAUCUGGCCAAUGUGAAACCAACGGCUGUUAAGGCAAUCCGCACCAGACCGGUCGCCUCCUGAGCAUCUGUGCUUAUGGAAUGAUCUGGCACAUGCAGCACGUUAAUUGUCUGGCGAGAGAUAGCUUGAAAGUGUCCGUUUAGUAAUGGAGAGGGAACUUAGUAACGUAAUGAAAUUACAGUACCGGUAUGUACUGUGAGUAACCUAGGGCGCAAGGACGACUUUGGUAACCCAUGGCGCUUGUCAUGAACCACCUAAACGUGGAAUUGAUAGGAUGCAAGCACGUUUUUCAUGGCUUGGGUCCCUCACCCCUGCUUCGAACAUCCUCGACUUGACAUGGACCACCUGUUGAACGAGCCAAACAGAAACUGGCGUUUUCAGCUACAAAUGCAGAGGGCAAAACUAUCAGAUGAAAUUGGGCCGAAUAUUUUCGCAUCCCGACUGGCCACACAGGGCCACACAAUGUCCCGAAAGAACAAGGCCCAGCUUAUGCACAAUGUACUUGGCGGGCUUUAAAUGGCAGGCGUUAAUGGCCCUGAGAGCUG
This 958-nucleotide long non-coding RNA is filed under the name Volvox carteri. RNAcentral's name for it is "long non-coding RNA (VCAR_LNC000800)". The record is from RNAcentral. Lineage: Eukaryota; Viridiplantae; Chlorophyta; Chlorophyceae; Chlamydomonadales; Volvocaceae.